This 2688-nucleotide unclassified non-coding RNA is filed under the name Exaiptasia diaphana. Its description in RNAcentral is "calcium/calmodulin-dependent 3',5'-cyclic nucleotide phosphodiesterase 1B, transcript variant X1". Lineage: Eukaryota; Metazoa; Cnidaria; Anthozoa; Actiniaria; Aiptasiidae. The record is from RNAcentral.
AUCUUCUUAUUUCCAUAGUAUCAACAAAUUGAAUAUCACGGUUUGGUGAGUCAACGGUAUAAAGUAGCCAGCGGUAUCAGUGUCAAUAGGUCAUAUCUUUCUUCUGCUGGGUUAAAUAGACGGUAGGUUUUGGGUGCCGAAAGAGGAAUGCGUCUUUGGAGUAUGACUGAUAUCGUAUAUAAUUCACUGCGUCAAACAUUAGAGAGCCGUAAGAAAUCCGCGAUGAUGAACGUGCACUCGCAGUUAUCAAUGUUGUACUAAACCACGCUACAUGAUGGGAAUAACAUGUACCCGACCGCUGAAGAAGAAACAGCCAGACCAAACACACAACAAUAAAUACGUUAAAAAUACGACUGAAGGCGAAAAUGUUCAACCGCUGAUCCACAUCACCACGGUCUCAACAAGUAGCGAUCAGAAUGUCGACGGUGAUCAAAAUGGAUUCAAAAGAAGUCGAGACUUCACACGACCUCGACCGAAAUCUAUGGAUGACUAUACCGAAACUGCUUCUGCACUGGCCUUAUCAAAACUUCAUCAUCUUCUUCAUCAGUUGGAAGAUGGAGAGAUCAAUUCUGUGACUGAGAUGAAGGAUGAAUUAAGUCAGGCAAUUGCCAUGAUGGACAUCGCAUCGGCGAAUACACGUGACUACAGAGGUUCACUUAGUGCGAUUAGUGAUAUCGACGAAGAGCUGUAUUGCAAUGUAGUUAGUGACGAGGUUCGUGAAUGGAUUGCAACUACCUUUGCUCGUGGUCAGGGUACAUCGAGAAGAAAAAGUAUUCUCCCGCGUCACACAUUUCGAGGUGUUGUCCAUGCUGUUAAGGCCAGUCUGUAUGUUCACAAGAUUUUAAAAAAUGUAUCCGACCGCAAUAGACUUCAAAUUCCACAGGAAAUUCAGGUACACUUUGAGAAACUCAACCGAUGGACGUUCGAUGUUUUUUCAUUCAGUGAAGCCACCGAUGGUCACUCGUUGAAGUAUAUNGGCUUCGAGGUACUUAGUCGACUAGAUCUUUUAAGGACAUUCAAGGUGAACGAUGUUACUCUGGAUCGAUUUUUACAAGCUGUAGAGGAAGGUUAUAAAAAGAAUUGCAAUCCCUAUCACAACGAAAUGCAUGCUAGUGACGUNACGCAUACUGUAUUCUACUUUAUCACGGUUCUUGGUUUAGGACAAAGUCUUUCAGAUCUGGAGGUAUUCGCUAUUCUUCUUUCUGCUAUGAUUCAUGACCUAGAACACACGGGAACAACAAAUGCUUUUCACAUAAACUCAAGAUCUGACCUUGCUUUAAUGUACAAUGAUCGCUCAGUUCUGGAAAACCAUCAUAUAAGUUCUGCAUUCAAGAUAUUACAAGACAACGAUAGAAAUAUUUUGUCCAAUUUAAAUUCAAACCAAUACAGUACUCUUCGGUCUCUCCUUAUAGACAUGGUGCUUGCAACCGACAUGUCUUCACAUUUUGAACAGCUUCGCCUGAUGAAGUUAGCAUUAGUGAAUGGAAGCCCGCUUGAGAGUGAAGAUGUAAUUCAACUGAUUUUGCAUGUAGCAGAUAUCAGUAAUCCUACCAAAGACUGGAACAUUCACCAGCAGUGGACAGAAAAAGUUAUGGAGGAAUUUUUUACACAAGGGGAUAUGGAAAAGGAACUUGGUCUUGACGUUUCACCGCUUUGUGAUCGCUCAGUCACACGCGUUCCAGAGAGCCAAGUUGGAUUUCUAGACGUAAUUGUUACUCCAGCAUUUGAANUGUGCAGUGAGGUUUUAGAGGGUUUUUUGAGAGAUAAUGGUAACCACCAUGUUACAAGUAAAGAGCUGGAUCAUCCCUGGUCGAAACCAUUAGCUUACAAUAGAAGGAAAUGGAAGGAACAGUGUCAGGUUAUAAACAAAGGCUCAACUCUUAGUAUAUGCAGUAGGAAUUCGACGACAAACUUACACGAUCAGUUUCAAGACGAUCCUAGUAGACGCAGCCCUCGUGGAAAUAGAAAACGGCUUACACCCAUCUCGUGAUAAUACGAUUGCUUGAUAAACUAUUAUACAUAAAUGGUGAAUUAACCGAGGACACGAAUAAUACUACAGAUUCACNACUGAUAACCAUAAAGUGCGGAUAUACUAAGGGAAGAGUUUAAACUACGUGAUUCUACGAAUAACAAGAAUUCUUAGCUCGGUGGCUGGCUGGUAGAACACCCAAGGAAAGAUCUACAAUAGAACAACAUUCAUGUAUUGACGGGCUAAACUAUUUUAACCGGCUUAAUUUGAUCUUGAAUGCUACAUUGAAUUCACUCAAUGAACACAAUGAUAGAAUAUAUAGAACACAUAUUGUUGUAUUAUCAUCUCAGUACUGAGAUGGUGAGUGGGUAGGGGGUAGGGGGGUAGGGGUAGUACUAUUCUUCCUUUUAAGAGNACACCAAUGAUAGUGGGGGAGGGGUGGGGCAUCUUGAUUCGUAUCACUUAUACGUACUCGGCCGUACNCACUGGCGGCUUAUUUUUCUUAAAGUUCGACUUGUGUUUUACUGUUGGCGACAAUGAAAAUUAAAACAAAANUGAUCAUGAAUUGAAGGGUGACAUGGUAGAAAGGGCGAUAAUUCCGAUGCCAUGGUUAUACACGAUAUCUUUCCAUGGUUAUACUACUCAGUUGUCAGCGAAUGAGACNUGGGGUUUGUUAGUGUUAUUUUCCCAUAUUUUCUUAUUAAAUUGCCCAAUUUUAA